UGGUGUAAUGUACCGAAUUUUUAAUAUAGAAGUAAGUAUAAAUAAAAAUAGUGUAAGAUAUUGUUUUUAUCGGACUUAAAGAAGUAAAAUAUAAGUCGGAAAUGACUUGUGCUGAAAUUGGAAUGAAAACAGAAGAUUUAGAAUUUUCUGUAAGAAACAGGGCUGAUAUUUUAACAGAAAAUUCAAUGUCAGAAAAUUAUGAAAAUUGGAGAAUAUGUCGAAAUUAUUUUUAUGAGGUGAGAUUUAAAGUUUCAUAUCAUUCCGACACCCGAAAAGUAAAAAAUAAAAUCUGACUGCUAUCUGCUAGAGAUUUUAGUCGGUAGAGCUUUCGGUGACCAAAAAUGGUCCAAACUGAAAAGUUAAGAUUUCGUUCUUC
Molecule: long non-coding RNA, 376 nt
Filed under: Ananas comosus (pineapple)
Lineage: Eukaryota; Viridiplantae; Streptophyta; Magnoliopsida; Poales; Bromeliaceae
Description: long non-coding RNA (ACOM_LNC005365)
Source: RNAcentral